RNAcentral lists this long non-coding RNA (485 nucleotides) under Cyanistes caeruleus (blue tit). RNAcentral describes it as "lncRNA (ENSCCEG00000012171.1)". The record is from RNAcentral. Lineage: Eukaryota; Metazoa; Chordata; Aves; Passeriformes; Paridae.
UAAGGAACCAAAUUCCUUUUAUUAUUGAUGCCUCAUUUCCUCAUUAAUGCCACAAAGAUUUAUGUGAAGGGACUUUCAGAGUGCUAAUGGAAUUACCCACCUAAAUCUCCCCCGUGCCGAUGGCGGGAAACGCUCUGGUUCUUUGCCCUCACGUUAGUGCUGGAAGAAACCAGCCUGCCAAACUGCUCCAGGAAGCUCUUCUGAGAUAGAGACAUCCAUCUCUGUGUACGGUCUGUACUUGUGAAGCAGAGCACAAAGCCCUUUUUCCAUUUAAUCCAUAUUAAUUAUCUCUCUGCAGCUCCUCUCUAGUUUCCACUCAUCCCAGGCACCAGACACUUGUGUGGCUGCAUCUUGAACAAACUAGAGCCUUUCACUCCCCACCUGCCGUGGCAUUCCCACCUCAGCCUGAAGUGACGGCAGCCUCUCCUCAGCACGGCUGCCCCAUCCCAGCCUGGCAGGAGGGUUUUGCCUCCUGUUUGGGGUAU